GCCUAACAGCUAGCCCGACCCCCUAAAUACAAUAGAACCUCUUCAAUUAACCCCACACACAGUAAAAAUACAAAACAAACCAUUUUUCCAUCCUAGUAUAGGAGAUAGAAAAGAACCUAGGAGCAAUAGAGAUAGUACCGCAAGGGAAAGCUGAAAGAGAAAUGAAAUAAUCCAGAAAAGCCUAAAGAAGCAAAGACUAACCCUUGUACCUUGG
RNAcentral lists this ribosomal RNA (214 nucleotides) under Halichoeres melanurus (tail-spot wrasse). Its description in RNAcentral is "partial 16S ribosomal RNA". Lineage: Eukaryota; Metazoa; Chordata; Actinopteri; Labriformes; Labridae. The record is from RNAcentral.